RNAcentral lists this ribosomal RNA (447 nucleotides) under uncultured bacterium. RNAcentral describes it as "bacterial SSU rRNA". It matches the Rfam family "Bacterial small subunit ribosomal RNA", at positions 470 to 916 of the family's 1533-position model. The record is from RNAcentral.
UGACGUUAACUUUAGAAGAAGCACCGGCUAACUCCGUGCCAGCAGCCGCGGUAAUACGGAGGGUGCAAGCGUUAAUCGGAAUUACUGGGCGUAAAGCGUGCGUAGGCGGUUUAUUAAGUCAGAUGUGAAAGCCCCGGGCUUAACCUGGGAACUGCAUUUGAAACUGGUAAACUAGAGUAUGGUAGAGGAAAGUGGAAUUUCUGGUGUAGCGGUGAAAUGCGUAGAUAUCAGAAGGAACAUCAAUGGCGAAGGCAGCUUUCUGGACCAAUACUGACGCUGAGGUACGAAAGCGUGGGUAGCAAACAGGAUUAGAUACCCUGGUAGUCCACGCCGUAAACGAUGAUAACUAGCCGUUGGGGGGAUUUACCCUUUAGUGGCGAAGCUAACGCGUUAAGUUAUCCGCCUGGGGAGUACGGCCGCAAGGUUAAAACUCAAAUGAAUUGACGG